GACGAACGCUGGCGGCGUGCUUAACACAUGCAAGUCGAACGGAAAGGCCCUGCUUUUGUGGGGUGCUCGAGUGACGAACGGGUGAGUAACACGUGAGUAACCUGCCCUUGACUUUGGGAUAACUUCAGGAAACUGGGGCUAAUACCGGAUAGGAGCUCCUGCUGCAUGGUGGGGGUUGGAAAGUUUCGGCGGUUGGGGAUGGACUCGCGGCUUAUCAGCUUGUUGGUGGGGUAGUGACUUACCAAGGCUUUGACGGGUAGCCGGCCUGAGAGGGUGACCGGCCACAUUGGGACUGAGAUACGGCCCAGACUCCUACGGGAGGCAGCAGUGGGGAAUAUUGCACAAUGGGCGGAAGCCUGAUGCAGCAACGCCGCGUGCGGGAUGACGGCCUUCGGGUUGUAAACCGCUUUCGCCUGUGACGAAGCGUGAGUGACGGUAAUGGGUAAAGAAGCACCGGCUAACUACGUG
This 468-nucleotide ribosomal RNA is filed under the name uncultured bacterium. RNAcentral describes it as "partial 16S ribosomal RNA". It matches the Rfam family "Bacterial small subunit ribosomal RNA", at positions 28 to 507 of the family's 1533-position model. The record is from RNAcentral.